CUACGGGAGGCUGCAGUGGGGAAUAUUGGGCAAUGGGCGCAAGCCUGACCCAGCAACGCCGCGUGAGGGAAGAAGGUUUUCGGAUUGUAAACCUCUGUCCUUGGGGACGAAGAAGUGACGGUACCCAAGGAGGAAGCUCCGGCUAACUACGUGCCAGCAGCCGCGGUAAUACGUAGGGAGCAAGCGUUGUCCGGAAUUACUGGGCGUAAAGGGUGCGUAGGCGGCAUAUUAAGUCAGGUGUGAAAUACUCGGGCUCAACCCGGGGGCUGCAUUUGAAACUGAUAUGCUUGAGUGUGAGAGAGGAAAGUGGAAUUCCUAGUGUAGCGGUGGAAUGCGUAGAUAUUAGGAGGAACACCAGUGGCGAAGGCGACUUUCUGGCUCAUAACUGACGCUGAGGCACGAAAGCGUGGGGAGCAAACAGGAUUAGAUACCCCUGUAGUC
RNAcentral lists this ribosomal RNA (441 nucleotides) under uncultured bacterium. RNAcentral describes it as "partial 16S ribosomal RNA". It matches the Rfam family "Bacterial small subunit ribosomal RNA", at positions 339 to 795 of the family's 1533-position model. The record is from RNAcentral.